AAUCUUAAAGUGUCAUUUUGAAAUGUUAUAGUGUCAUUCGGAAUAUUAUAGUGUCAUUUUAAAAUGUUAUAGUGUCAUUUGAAAUGUUCAAAAGUGUCAUAGUGUCAUUUAAAAAUUUAAAGUUUCAUUUGAAAUUUUAAAGUUUAAUUUGUAUAUCAUCAAAGUUUCAUUUGUAUAUCAUCAAAGUUUCAAUCUAUAAUAGUGUGAAAGGAGCGCGCAUGGUGAGCGCACAAAUUGCACGGCGCUCAUUUAAGUUUUUGUCA
RNAcentral lists this long non-coding RNA (263 nucleotides) under Salvia miltiorrhiza (redroot sage). RNAcentral's name for it is "long non-coding RNA (SMIL_LNC014188)". The record is from RNAcentral. Lineage: Eukaryota; Viridiplantae; Streptophyta; Magnoliopsida; Lamiales; Lamiaceae.